Molecule: ribosomal RNA, 331 nt
Filed under: Steromphala cineraria
Lineage: Eukaryota; Metazoa; Mollusca; Gastropoda; Trochida; Trochidae
Description: eukaryotic LSU rRNA
Rfam family: Eukaryotic large subunit ribosomal RNA
Source: RNAcentral
AUCAGUAAGCGGAGGAAAAGAAACUAACAAGGAUUCCCUUAGUAACGGCGAGUGAAGCGGGAAGAGCCCAGCACCGAAUCCCCUGGUUCUGCGCUAGCGGGAAUUGUGGUGUUUGGGACGCCUAUCGGCGCUGUGUCCCUGUGCCCAAGUCCUUCUGAUCGGGGCCUUUCCCAUAGUGGGUGUCAGGCCUUUAGCGGCACGGGACUAGGCGUCCUUGAGCGUCCUUGGAGUCGGGUUGUUUGGGAAUGCAGCCCUAAGCGGGUGGUAAACUCCAUCUAAGGCUAAAUACUGGCACGAGUCCGAUAGCGAACAAGUACCGUGAGGGAAAGUU